RNAcentral lists this transfer RNA (72 nucleotides) under Acropora cervicornis. Its description in RNAcentral is "tRNA-Ser". It matches the Rfam family "tRNA". Rfam says of the family: Transfer RNA (tRNA) molecules are approximately 80 nucleotides in length. The record is from RNAcentral. Lineage: Eukaryota; Metazoa; Cnidaria; Anthozoa; Scleractinia; Acroporidae.
GGCUUCAUGGCUCAGUUGGUUAGAGCGUCGCACCGCUAUCGCGAGGUCACGGGUUCAAACCGGUUGAAGUCC